RNAcentral lists this transfer RNA (72 nucleotides) under Loxodonta africana (African savanna elephant). It matches the Rfam family "tRNA". Rfam says of the family: Transfer RNA (tRNA) molecules are approximately 80 nucleotides in length. Their secondary structure includes four short double-helical elements and three loops (D, anti-codon, and T loops). The record is from Rfam by way of RNAcentral. Lineage: Eukaryota; Metazoa; Chordata; Mammalia; Proboscidea; Elephantidae.
GCCCUGGUGGUACAAUGGUUAAAACGCUCAGCUGCUAACUGAAAAGUUGAAGGUUUGAACCUACCAGGCGCU